This 267-nucleotide non-coding RNA is filed under the name Chloroflexota bacterium. RNAcentral's name for it is "Chloroflexi bacterium T-box sequence". It matches the Rfam family "T-box leader". From Rfam's summary of the family: Uncharged tRNA acts as the effector for transcription antitermination of genes in the T-box leader family. T-boxes are found upstream of many aminoacyl-tRNA synthetase genes and some amino acid biosynthetic genes usually in Gram-positive bacteria. The anticodon of a specific tRNA base pairs to a specifier sequence within the T-box motif, and the NCCA acceptor tail of the tRNA base pairs to a conserved bulge in the T-box antiterminator hairpin. The record is from RNAcentral. Lineage: Bacteria; Bacillati; Chloroflexota.
UGAGCAGCGAAGAACAAGAGAAGUAAGCUUCAAGCGAGGCACAGAGAGUCGGGGAUGGGUGUGAGCCCGAUGCCGGCGCAGAAGUUGAAUGGCCUUGGGAGCUUCAAACCGAAAGCGACUGCUGUGUAGGCUUUGACGGAGGGGCACCGUUAUCAGAGCUCAGGGUAUGGGAAAGCCCAUGGUGGCUGACCCGUACCCCAAAAGAGAUGGCCUGCCACAGGCUGGCCAAAUAGGGUGGUACCGCGGACUAAGCCCUUCGCCCCUAUG